AAAAAAAAUCAGAGUUGAAUUUGAGCAAUUAUAACUCUGGGAUAGCAACUGAUCUCCAGCUGCUAAAUGCCGACAACUUGGUCUCUGCGCCAAUACCAGUCUUGUCUUUGGUCCAUUGGGACAUGGUUUUCUCCUAAGCAAGAUAUUGGUACAUCUACUUCGGAUGGUUAGUAGGAAAUCUGUUGGCUGUACUAAUGUAGUGGGCUCAGAAUCCAGAGUUUAUAUGUGCCCCAUCAUUUGAUCAAAUGCAUGAAUAUAUUAUAAGUUCAAGGGUUCCUAAUUCUUUACUAAGUUGAUUUACAACUCUGCCUUUAGGAGCCUUCAUAUUUGUACUAAUAUCUGUGCCUAAGAGAUCUUGUAGCACAGGGCAAUUAAAUUUGGGAAAGCUUUGAACAAAAUAUGGGAACCGCCAUAACAUGAAAACGGUAAACCACUUGUAAGUGCUAAUUCAGGUACUUCGCUGAACUUUGAUGAGAUUUAUGUAAUCACAACAUCAUCUUGGAAGCUGCACACCUUCUGCAUAUGUGUUAGGGCUUGAAAUGCAACUUGAAUUAUGUUACUUGGGAAUUAUAAUUAUGCUAACUC
This 585-nucleotide long non-coding RNA is filed under the name Salvia miltiorrhiza (redroot sage). RNAcentral describes it as "long non-coding RNA (SMIL_LNC013363)". Lineage: Eukaryota; Viridiplantae; Streptophyta; Magnoliopsida; Lamiales; Lamiaceae. The record is from RNAcentral.